RNAcentral lists this long non-coding RNA (680 nucleotides) under Nicotiana benthamiana. RNAcentral describes it as "long non-coding RNA (NBEN_LNC006489)". Lineage: Eukaryota; Viridiplantae; Streptophyta; Magnoliopsida; Solanales; Solanaceae. The record is from RNAcentral.
UUAAUCAAACAUGUUUAUAGAUUCAUUUUGUUCAAUUGAACACAGAAGAGAUAAAAGUGAAGUGGGUGCCACACAGUGCCAUGUUCAAUAACCAAUCAAGAAAAAUUAAACCAGUGGACCUGAUUCAUCACGUCAACAGGAAUCGAUUGACAUAAAACCCUAUCUUCUGAAUAGUGAAACUAUCUCAUUGAAGAAUAGUAUCAUCUGCGUAUUCCUGCUAUCACAUCAUCAUAACUUACGAACGAACAGUGCAGUUUAAUGGAUCAAAUUGAUGCAGCCUGUAUUAUCAAAAUAUUUCCUUUUCUCUUUCCAGGAAAAUGUUACACAAGGAACUUAAAGACGAAACAGUCCCAACUUUCAGCGAUCUGUGAAGGUCUAUGCUCUCUGCUCGACAUAGGAACCAGCUAGUCCAGAAGUCCCAAGAACUGUAACCUGGAGUGAGAAAGCCAGAGCGCAUUGUGAGAAAACAAGUAAAGCUAAAUUCUUCAGGAGAUCUCAUAUAGGUGUCCAUUAUUUUCACGCAAGAAAGUAAACAAAUCACGAUUUACAACCACAUAGGCUACUUCCAUUAGUACAAUAAAUUCAGCAUAACAACAAAAUAAUAUGACUUUUUCUACAUAACAAAGCUACCAUCUGAUCCUAUGCCUGUUGAGCAAAUUGAGACACAAAAAGGGACGAUU